Molecule: ribosomal RNA, 466 nt
Filed under: Vreelandella stevensii
Lineage: Bacteria; Pseudomonadati; Pseudomonadota; Gammaproteobacteria; Oceanospirillales; Halomonadaceae
Description: partial 16S ribosomal RNA
Rfam family: Bacterial small subunit ribosomal RNA
Source: RNAcentral
CCUACGGGUGGCUGCAGUGGGGAAUAUUGGACAAUGGGGGCAACCCUGAUCCAGCCAUGCCGCGUGUGUGAAGAAGGCCCUCGGGUUGUAAAGCACUUUCAGUGAGGAAGAACGCCUGGUGGUUAAUACCCAUCAGGAAAGACAUCACUCACAGAAGAAGCACCGGCAUAACUCCGUGCCAGCAGCCGCGGUAAUACGGAGGGUGCGAGCGUUAAUCGGAAUUACUGGGCGUAAAGCGCGCGUAGGUGGCUUGAUAAGCCGGUUGUGAAAGCCCCGGGCUCAACCUGGGAACGGCAUCCGGAACUGUCAAGCUAGAGUGCAGGAGAGGAAGGUAGAAUUCCCGGUGUAGCGGUGAAAUGCGUAGAGAUCGGGAGGAAUACCAGUGGCGAAGGCGGCCUUCUGGACUGACACUGACACUGAGGUGCGAAAGCGUGGGUAGCAAACAGGAUUAGAUACCCUUGUAGUC